CCUACGGGAGGCAGCAGUGAGGAAUAUUGGUCAAUGGACGAGAGUCUGAACCAGCCAAGUAGCGUGAAGGAUGACUGCCCUAUGGGUUAUAAACUUCUUUUAUAUGGGAAUAAAACGUUCCACGUGUGGGAUUUUGUAUGUCUCAUAUGAAUAAGGAUCGGCUAACUCCGUGCCAGCAGCCGCGGUAAUACGGAGGAUCCGAGCGUUAUCCGGAUUUAUUGGGUUUAAAGGGAGCGUAGGUGGAUUGUUAAGUCAGUUGUGAAAGUUUGCGGCUCAACCGUGAAAUUGCAGUUGAAACUGGCAGUCUUGAGUACAGGAGAGGUGAGCGGAAUUCGUGGUGUAGCGGUGAAAUGCGUAGAUAUUACGAAGAACUCCGAUUGCGAAGGCAGUUCACUGGACUGCAACUGACACUGAGGCUCGAAAGUGUGGGUAUCAAACAGGAUUAGAUACCCCAGUAGUC
This 460-nucleotide ribosomal RNA is filed under the name uncultured bacterium. RNAcentral's name for it is "partial 16S ribosomal RNA". It matches the Rfam family "Bacterial small subunit ribosomal RNA", at positions 338 to 795 of the family's 1533-position model. The record is from RNAcentral.